AUUGAACGCUGGCGGCAGGCCUAACACAUGCAAGUCGAGCGGAUGAAGGGAGCUUGCUCCUGGAUUCAGCGGCGGACGGGUGAGUAAUGCCUAGGAAUCUGCCUGGUAGUGGGGGAUAACGUCCGGAAACGGGCGCUAAUACCGCAUACGUCCUGCGGGAGAAAGUGGGGGAUCUUCGGACCUCACGCUAUCAGAUGAGCCUAGGUCGGAUUAGCUAGUUGGUGGGGUAAAGGCCUACCAAGGCGACGAUCCGUAACUGGUCUGAGAGGAUGAUCAGUCACACUGGAACUGAGACACGGUCCAGACUCCUACGGGAGGCAGCAGUGGGGAAUAUUGGGCAGUGGGCGAAAGCCUGAUCCAGCCAUGCCGCGUGUGUGAAGAAGGUCUUCGGAUUGUAAAGCACUUUAAGUUGGGAGGAAGGGCAGUAAGUUAAUACCUUGCUGUUUUGACGUUACCAACAGAAUAAGCACCGGCUAACUUCGUG
Molecule: ribosomal RNA, 484 nt
Filed under: uncultured bacterium
Lineage: Bacteria
Description: partial 16S ribosomal RNA
Rfam family: Bacterial small subunit ribosomal RNA
Source: RNAcentral